This 207-nucleotide ribosomal RNA is filed under the name uncultured bacterium. Its description in RNAcentral is "partial 16S ribosomal RNA". It matches the Rfam family "Bacterial small subunit ribosomal RNA", at positions 568 to 774 of the family's 1533-position model. The record is from RNAcentral.
GGUGUAGGUGGCUUUAUAAGUCAGGUGUGAAAUCCCAGGGCUCAACCCUGGACGUGCACAUGAUACUGUAGAGCUUGAGUGUGGGAGAGGUUACUAGAAUUCCAGGUGUAGUGGUGAAAUACGUAGAUAUCUGGAGGAAUACCGGUGGCGAAGGCGGGUAACUGACCCAACACUGACACUGAUGCCCGAAAGCGUGGGGAUCAAACA